This 312-nucleotide ribosomal RNA is filed under the name uncultured eukaryote. Its description in RNAcentral is "partial 18S ribosomal RNA". It matches the Rfam family "Eukaryotic small subunit ribosomal RNA", at positions 1470 to 1796 of the family's 1831-position model. The record is from RNAcentral.
CCCUUAGAUGUUCUGGGCUGCACGCGCGCUACACUGAUGCGCUCAACGAGUUUUAACCUUGCCUGGAAAGGUUGGGUAAUCUUUUUAAAACGCAUCGUGAUGGGGAUAGAUUAUUGCAAUUAUUAAUCUUCAACGAGGAAUUCCUAGUAAGCGCGAGUCAUCAGCUCGUGCUGAUUACGUCCCUGCCCUUUGUACACACCGCCCGUCGCACCUACCGAUUGAAUGGUCCGGUGAAGUCUUCGGACAGUGGCAGUUUACUGCUACUGAAAGUUGAGUGAACCUUACCAUUUAGAGGAAGGUGAAGUCGUAACA